AUGAAGAAGCAGCAGCCAGAGGAAGAAAGUAAAAGCAGCUAUAUAGGGAAAGAAAGAUGUACCUUGAAAAAAAGUGGCAUGGCUUCUACAAAGGACCCGUGUGCUCAGGGGAUUAUACCUUCUGUUUACAUAGGAAUAAAUAUGCAUUUCAUUUAUCAUCUGCAUUUUAAAUAAAUCAUGGGUUCUCAAGCAGAAUUUGAAGUUAUCAUUUUCUACGUAAUGUCUGAAUUUCCUCUGCUAAUUCUCCAGCCAAAGGUCAUAAAGCCAUCUGUUUGAACACCUUCAGUAAUGGGACAGCACCUUUCCUCUUUCAGGAGGCAAUCACUUAAGACAUUUCUAAAGAUAAAACUAUUAGAUUGUGAUUCUUUAAUCAUCCAGAAAGUGACUUACUGUUUGACUUAGGUUUUCCAUUCUUAUUUUACACAAAAUGAGUCCUACACCUCUAUACUUAACUCCUAGUUUCAUGACAUGGUCAAGCAUGGCCAUCACCUAGAAAUACCUGCUAAACUGCCCCCAGAAGCCCUAGGCAGGGUAUAUAGACCCUUCUAAGUGGUAUCUAACUGAUGAUAUAGGAGCACAAUCUUGCAUUUAGAUCACAAUUCACUGUAGAUGCCAUGUCUUAUUUAAUAAUUUGCUUAUCAAUAGACUUCAGAUAAAUUGUCUUAUACAAAAGGCCUACUACUAGGAAUUCAAGUAUAUUCAUUCUCUCUUUUGUCAGAAAUUUUCCUUUGGCAAGCUCUUAUGGUAGCUUAAGAAAAAAUAAAACAACAAAAACGAUCCAUCAUCCUUGUGGGCUGUACCAGGCACCCUCCUGAAUCCAUCAAGGCCGUGUAUCCCCCCAUUCUAAGCUCUGUUUGUCUCUGUCUCAUAUGAAUAUUUCGUGCACUCAGUGAAAACAAUCAUAGGCAACUCUAGGCCCCAAGCCUGUGACGCCAGCAAAUGCAGUCACUUCCCUAUUGUCUGAAUAUCACAUUUCCUGAAAGAGUCCCAGUUGGCCCAGGCAUAAGACAUGGUGCUACUGGACAGGCCCAACGCAACUGCAUGUGUUGAGGAGGAAAAGUCCUCCGAAAAAACAAAAUCUGUGCCAUCCACGCAGAUCCAUUAAAAAUGGGUGCAAAAUUGUAGAACAAUGAAGAGACAAGAAAAGAAUGUCACUUGUGACCUACACAGUCACCAAAUCUGGCUUUGGUUGAUUAGUCGGAAAAGUAAAACUUUCAUUUAAUUUUCAGAAUAGGUGGCAAUGGAGAGCAGCUUGACAUUCACAAAGGCCAUAUUGUAUUUCAGUCUCAUGUUUGACACUACACAAAUCCCAUUUCCUGCACCUGAGAGACUUUCCAUUCAAUAAAGUCAAGGAGCUGAUAAAGAGGUAGAAUUCAAAUAGUGAAGAAGUUGGAAGAUCACAAUUUAGCAAGAUUCUAACUUGCCAAAAAUCAGGAGCAGGCAAGUAUCAAAGAAGAAUCUGGAGAUUAAUACAGGAUCACACUUUAAACAGGUGAAAAGCACUGCCUCAUGUCUAGUAUUAGGGCAUCCCAUGGGUAAUUUAAACUCCUUAUUGGAACAAAGUUUAUUUCUGCAGAAGGAUUUGUAAAUGUUCUGUAUUCCAUCACAAUAACCCUGUCUUUUACCAUAUUAAACAUUUGAUUCUGUUAAUUCAUAAAGGCUGAUUUUGGUUCAUAUUCCACACUCUAUUAAAACACAUAAACACAGACUUAAAUCUAGGAGAGAAGUGCCUCAGAUAACUGUCCUUGUCUUAGCAACCACCAGUACCUAAUUCAGCGGAUGGCCCACAGCAGUUACUCAGUAAACGUUACAUCAAAACACUGAAAAAUCUUGAGUUAGGUGAUUUUAAAGGUCUGCCAUUUUUUGAGAUCUAUGUUUCUACUUGUGCCAUUUAUCAAGUAAAUUCAUGAAAUUUGUACCAGAUCAUUUUUACGUUUUCAUUUAUGUUUUGUUUUAGAAAUAAAGCACAUUUUUCAGAACUGCAAAUUGAUGAAAGUGUAUUUUAAUGAUGUCCAUGUUUAAUGUUUCAAAGAAUUUUCACAUUAUGACAUUUCCUCUUCAAAGCAAUCCUAUCCUUGUGAAAGAUACUAUUGCCAUUUUUGUCAGAUGAUGGAAUGGGUUCAUUACAGGGCUUAGGAAAAUUCCUAAAUUAUUCUGUGUUUCAGUGAUUUCUCUGUUACCAAUUUUACUCUCCCAUUCUAAUUUCUGACUGAGCACAAUGUUCAAAUGCCUUCUCUGCAUAAAAUAUACAAAAAAGAUACUGUUGGCAGAAAAAAAAAAUUCUGUCUAAAACCUGUGCCAAAUAUGAACAAUAAAAAAGAAUGCCUAAUUAUGUAAAGUUUACUGCUUAAUUUAAAAGCCUUUCUAUUGUACAGGAUCCUUUUAAUUACUGCUGUGAAUGCUAUCUCCUGUGAUCUUUCAUGUAUACUGCCAUCUGUUUUCAAAACAUCUUAUGAUCUUGAAAUAACAUUGCAUACAAUCCACAGUUUUUUAUUCAGACUACUGGGACAAUGUGAAAGACCCCACACAGCGUGACUGCAAAUCUCAUUGCUUUCUAUGAAUAAAGGAAAACAAAGUUAACUACAAAAACCCAGUAUGUUUUCAAACUUCAUCUGGACCACAGCCUCUGGAUUAAUAAAUUGUAGGAAACAGUCCUGCUGCUAAUUAGCUACAUGACAGUAGGUAAGGCACUGUAACUUGCUGAUCUUCAGUUUUCUCACUUGCAUAAAGGAGGAAUAGAUUUGAUGAAAACUAAAGAGCUUCCUAGACUGAAGACAUCUAUGAACCAUGAACUCAGAUUUUGAAUUCUACAGAGUUCAAUAUUGUGGAGUAUGAUCGACCCAUCUCCAGAAGUUUUGCCUUGUCUAUACGUGCACAAUCACAGACUCCCAGACACCCCCACACACAUAAUAUUAAAUCAAGGCUUUGACAUAAUCGCAAAAUAAAACCCUUGCUUAACAGUUCAUUCCAAUUUGAUUUUAUAGAAUCCAGCUUUCUUUGAUUAUUGAAAGAAUAUUGUAGCUGAGGCUGGGUGUGGUGGCUUAUGCCUAUCACCUCGGUACUUUGGGAGGCCAAAGCAAUAUUGUUUGAGUUCAGGAGUUUAAGACCAACCUGGACAACAUUGCAAGACCUCAUCUCUACUAAAAAGAAAACAAAUUAAUGAAUAUUGUAGUGGAAACAUGAGGAAAAGUGGUUAUCAUUCAUUAUAUAAAGUACCCGUGUGUGUGUGUUAUGUUAUUAUAUAUGUUUAUGAUAUUUUCAUGAUGGAGCAUAGAAAUUCAUUAACUCAACAGCAGUAAAAACUCAACUAUGAUAAGGGUUUAAAAGGUGAAGGAUGUUGGUCUAAUUCACCUUUAUGUCUUAUCAGAGCUUGAAGCUUUCCCUUGCACAUAGUAGAUACUAAAUAAAUAUUCACUGAUCUUUAGAAUUUUGUGACUCCAUGAUUAUAAUUAUUUGAAUGGAAGAGGUAAGUUAAUGCAUGUUAAAACACUGCAGUCUGCUCAGUGCCUGAUACAUGCAAAACUCAAAUUUAAUUAAUCUAUUUAUUUGAACUAAGAAAAUGUGUUCAAAAUAUUUGUUUAAAAGGCCCAGCUUUUUAUUUUUUUCUGGGAUUAUAUUGUGAACAUUCCACAAAAAAGUAAUAUAUACAAAAGAUAUAUGUAUAAGAAUGAUCAACCCAAGGAUUUAUAAUAGCAAAACAUUUAAUAUAAACUGUUAAAAGCUGGGUUGGUUAAGGUAAUCAUAUGGCACCUAUUAAUGUAUGAUGCAUUUUUACAGGGCAAUAAUAUAUACAGCUGUUACUGUUAAAUAAAGUAAAAAUGGACAUCGUGUAGUUGUCUGAAACUGAUUUAACUUUACUUAUAAAAACAUGAUAUACUUUGCUAAUAAAUUAAAAUUUUACAUAUAGUGAAACAUUUGCUAACUUGGCAUCAUAUAAUUAUUAUAUUGUAUUUAACAAAAUCUAUUUAGUAUAUUACAUAUUAUAAUAAAAAGUCUCAACUAAAAAUUACUUGUACCAAUGACCUAAUCAAAGAAAUGAAUAAGCCAGACUGGGCAUGGUGACUCAUGCCUGUAAUCCAAGUACUUUGGGAGGCCGAGGUGGGUGGAUCACUUGAGGUCAGGAGUUCAAGAGCAGCCUGCCCAACAUGGUAAAACCUGUCUCUACUAAAAAUACAAAAAUUAGCCAAUCAUGGUGGUGCAUGUCUGUAAUCCCAGCUACUCAGAGGCUAAGGCAGGAGGAUCACUUGAACCAGGGUGGCAGAAGUUGCAGUGAUUUGAGAUCACGCCAUUGCAUUCCAGACUGGGCAACUGAGUGAGACUCAGAGAGAAGGAAAAGAAGGGAGAGGAGAGGAGAGGAGAGGAGAGGAGAGGAGAGGAGAGGAGAGGGGAGGGGAGGGGAGGAAGAGGAAGGGAGGAAGGGAGGAAGGGAGGAAGGGAGGAAGGGAGGAAGGAAGGAAGGGAGGGAGGGAGGGAGGGAGGGAGGGAGGGAGGGAGGGAGGAAGGAAGGAAGGAAGGAAGGAAGGAAGGAAGGAAGGAAGGAAGGAAGGAAGGAAGGAAGGAAACAAGUCAAAUGGAGCAAGUUUAUCACCCAACCAUUAUUAAAUCCCUGUGGAAUAUAGAUUAAAAUAUAUUAAUCUCCAAGCGAUAUUUCAACUGCACUUACAUACCACCCAUUCAUUGUAAGAUUCUUUAGUGCAGAAGGUAAAAAGUCAAAUGCCUACCGUAAAUGCCAAGUACUGCAAGGAGUACUAAAGACUGAAGCUAGCUAUAAUGCAAAAGAGAG
This 4783-nucleotide long non-coding RNA is filed under the name Papio anubis (olive baboon). RNAcentral's name for it is "lncRNA (ENSPANG00000037178.1)". The record is from RNAcentral. Lineage: Eukaryota; Metazoa; Chordata; Mammalia; Primates; Cercopithecidae.